AAGGAUUUAAGUUAAAUAAACUCUCAACCUUCAAAGUUGGAAAUACCCCCAAUUUGUAAGCCUUA
This 65-nucleotide transfer RNA is filed under the name Curculionoidea sp. 11 KM-2017. RNAcentral describes it as "tRNA-Trp". Lineage: Eukaryota; Metazoa; Arthropoda; Insecta; Coleoptera. The record is from RNAcentral.